This 491-nucleotide ribosomal RNA is filed under the name uncultured bacterium. RNAcentral describes it as "partial 16S ribosomal RNA". It matches the Rfam family "Bacterial small subunit ribosomal RNA", at positions 29 to 507 of the family's 1533-position model. The record is from RNAcentral.
AGUGAACGCUGGCGGUAGGCCUAACACAUGCAAGUCGAACGGCAGCACAGUAAGAGCUUGCUCUACGGGUGACGAGUGGCGAACGGGUGAGGAAUACAUCGGAAUCUACUUGUUCGUUGGGGAUAACGUAGGGAAACUUACGCUAAUACCCCAUACGACCUACGGGUGAAAGCAGGGGAGCUUCGGACCUUGCGCGAUUGAAUGAGCCGAUGUCGGAUUAGCUAGUUGGCGGGGUAAAGGCCCACCAAGGCGACGAUCGGUAGCUGGUGUGAGAGGAUGAUCAGCCACACUGGAACUGAGACACGGUCCAGAGUCCUACGGGAGGCAGCAGUGGGGAAUAUUGGACAAUGGGGGCAAGCAUGACCCAGCCAUACCGAGUGGGUGACGAAGGCCUUCGGGUUGUAAAGACCUUUUGUUGGGAAAGAAAAGCAGCAGGUUAAUACCCCGCUGUUCUGACGGUACCCAAAGAAUAAGCACCGGCUAACUUCGUG